GGAAGGCAAACAAAAGUGGUUCGCAGUGGCUUGCUCAAUAGUCAAAAUCCUCCAAAACAUGGAACAGCGGAUAAAUCUGUGUAUGUUGAGUAUGAGAAGAGAAGGGCAGUAUAUGAAGGUUUAAAAUAUGGAAAAAGUUCUGCAUCAGGAAGUAGCACUUCAGUUUCAGGCAGUGGGAAAGGUUCGUUACUGUUACUUGGUGAAAAAAGCAGAAAAUAUAACUCAGAGAACUUCAAGCAAAAAGGCCAGUAAAGUCAAAGCUGACAUUGGUUUGUUUGAAAAAUCUAAUGGAACAGUAUUGAUGGCCCUUCCGAAUAUUUGAAAAGGAAAAUAUUCACCUGCCAUUUUUGUGCUAAGGAGAGAAGCUCUGGCUGCUGCAGUCUUGUUGAUUCACUGAGAAUUCUGUCAUAUUUACAAUGAACACAGCUGCAGCUAUGCAGUGUUAUCAAGGCUUUACAGACUGAGUGUUUUUUCUAGGAUGUUUCACGGAUGUCUUGUUAUUUUAGGUAAAUGUCAAAUAUUUUAUUUACAGUUAGUAUUGCUUAAAACUCAGGGAACCUAUUGGUUCAUGAAGUUAGUAUGAGGUGGUUCUCAAACAUGUUUUUUUUUUUUACUUCUCCCAUCCAUGACUAUGCAACUUCAUAUAACAGUCUUUAAAAAUAAUUGUUAUUAAGAUUUGUUCUAAAACUACCUGUUUGUAUAUCAUAAAUUUAACUUCUUGAUGGCUAAAUGAACAUUUUGACAGUGUUAAGUUAGCACUGAAUAUAAAGAGGUAGUAUGAUGUAACUUAGGAAACAUGAUAAUGUCUUACCCAUUUAGUAGCAUUACACAAUAACUUUACUGACCUCUUGAUAUAACAUUGUGGAUCCUUUCUGAUGGAUCCGCGCUUGGGGAUAUCCUUUAUUCUCCUCCAGUUCAGCAUUAUGUCUUUCAAGUUCUGGCAGUCAGGGGUGCAUAUGCCUUAUGCAGGAGCAAGCCAUGAUAUUAUGUGCUGCACUAGGAGAACAUGCCUAAGCAGUGAGUUCUGCCUUUGUUUUGACACUUACAUAGUUCAGCUCUCAGUCCUAAUUUCUAUCAUAGAGAAGUUCCUGUGCUUGAUGCCUAAGGAGAAAGCUUUCUUAAGCAUUCCUGUGUCUAUCAGAUAGUGAGCAAAGAUCCACGCUGGCACUGGCUGUUCUGCCUGGGAGCUAAUGCUUUAAGUGUUAGAAGUUCAGGCCAGCUGCAUGUCAGCAUAGGAAAGAGAACCUUCUGGCCUGUCUUACUAUUAUGGAAAUGGUGAAGGUUGAAAGUGAUCAGUUUUGAUAUCAGUAGAAAGACCUGAUGUGCAGCCACAGACUUUUGCCGGAACAGCAUAAGAAGGCUAAAGAAACUAAUGGUAGACAGUAGUCACACCCUUCUUGAGGUAAGCCCAUUCUUGAGACUACUUCCCAGCCCCUGCUUGAAUGUCCUGGCUGUAGACUUAAUUGUACUCCUUUUGGUUGUUUUAGCUGAACAUCUUGGAGAACAUCAUCUCUGGCAACAGUCAUGAAGAAUGUAGCCAAUGUUGUAGGCACCACUCUUUACUCAUUGAUCAGCCAGAGCACACAUGUAGCUAGCUCGAUUCUAAGGAGAAAAGUUCCUUGAGUCAUUUAGCUGUAGCUGAAUGGGUGCAGUUAGGACAGAGGACUCCUUUUCAACUCAUUCCCUGUGCCAAACAUGACUUAGUAGCCCAAGCUGAAAAUGGUCAUCUGGGUCCUGAUGCAUCAGGGUCUGGUCUUUAGGCUGUAGACAUAAGGCAGCUGUUUGAGGUCUGGUGGGUCCUGUUCUUGCCUGAUGCCAUCACUGGGCAGGGAACAGACCUCUGAAGUUCUUGCACCCCCCAUUAUCAGGUGCAUCCCUGAGUACUGUUAUCCCAAUGCCCAGUAUGUGGUUCCAGGUAUUACAUGCACAACCCCAUGCCUGUUAUCCAUGCAUAAGCCAUUUCCAACGCUAGUAUGGGGCAUGGAUCUCUUGGUCCAUUUGUUUUCUGUGAGAGGUCAGAUGACUGGAUCCUGUUAUCUUCAAGGCAGAACAAUAAAGAGAACCCCCCUCCCUCAACUACCUAUUGGUUAAUAUUUACUAUGGAGAAAUUCUGAAGCUCAUGGAGUUUAACAUAGACUGAUCUUUGUUCUUUACUCUGUCCCCUCAAAAGUGCCAGAAUGAGUAUCUAGUGAAUAAGGAGAAACAUUGGCACAAUCCACUUGUGAACACUGUCAUUACGAAUGGCAACAGGCUUCUACUUCAGUAGAUUCCAACAAGGUGGAUGCCCUUUAUAAUUCCUUGGCUGAAUGGUAUGGAUCCUGACCAGGAAUCCUAGAGCACACUCUUACAUGAUCUCCUCAGUCAAACAUAAGACUGAUAGGUCAUAACACUCUACCACUCUGUCAUUAAACAAGGACUCUAAACUGUUAAGAUGAACAAGAGAGUCUUUUCUUUUGCUAUAUUGAGGACUGGGUCACAUAACUGUUUGUUGUACUUAUCCAGAAUCCAGCCUUCCCUAGUAUAGAUCUGGGGAUAACAAAACUUUUGGACCAUUUUGUUUACUGACUCAAGGAAGAGUUGUUCAAGACUCUGCCUACAUUGUUCAUAGCUCACAAGUAUGUGCAUUACUGUAGUUUUAACUAUGCUGAAUCUUUGGCUUGGUCAUCAGGCUUGAACAUAUAUCUGUGUAGUAUGGCAUAGCUGAGACUUUCCUUUCUGAGGGAUGAGUUUAGACAGUUUAUGCUCAAUGCCUUAUUCAAGCAGGUGGUCCCAUUGAGCCAGCCCUAUCAGAAUUUGGAGGAUGACUUUCCAUAUAGGGAAGCUGGCUAUCACCAGUAACAAUAACUUUUAUGAACCUUCCCAGCCCCUUCUCUUCUUAUUCUACUAGGCAUAGCCAAUCCCCUAGAAAGUUAAAGCCACACUAGUACAAGAACCCUUAAGCAUCAGAUAGUUUCACCUCAUCCCAUCUGAGGUACCAGCUAAGUCAUCCCAGAAAAUGACUGUUAGUCUAGCAGCUGACAUCUUAUCAUAUAUGGUUGUCUAAGGGAGGAGCCUGUUAUCUAGAUUUGACACUGCUUGGAGGCCCAUCAUAAAUGAUGUAUGUCAUACCCUGAAAGGGCUCCACUCCAAGACCAAGCCAUCUCAAAAGAUUACAUUGAACAUGCCCUGACUGUAGAUUUUAAAGACUUGACAUAAGCUUUCCUGCCUUUGAAAUGAGGCCAUUUAUUCUACUUCUUGGAUUCAGAAGGAAUGGAAAGCUUCCGUCCCAUUUUUGAUGUCUGCAGCAUUAACAGACAUAACCACUACUUCAGAUUCUAGAUGACACUCUUCAGGGGUCAUAAUCUUGCUGUUAUAAGGUACCUGAGAUGUGUGGAUAGAUAUGAUAGAUGCCUUCUGGCACAUCAGUGUCUGUAGUCUUUACAGGAAAUUCAUUAAUUUCAUUAUUUCCUUCUUUCUUUCUUUCUUCAUUGGUACCACUGUCAGCACAGAACACUUCUGUUAGAUUUUUUCCUGUACAUGCCUGGUGCUUGCCAUACUAAAAUAGGCCUUCACAGAGUAAGGAAUGUAGUCUAUUCCUCUUUCUCAAAGACUGAUACCUGUCAUCGUCAUCAAGGGACUUCCUGAUGAUUUUCUGGAAUGAGCCUUGCAUUACAGUGACUUGGGUGACCAUAAGUGCAUAAACUGAGAGAAUUUAUCUCUUAUAUCAUCUGAGAGAGCUGUCUUCCUUCUCAAAAUGCUGAACACUCUCUAUUGUCAGCCAUUUCUACCCACAUAGAGAGCUCAGGAGAUCACAAACUUAGCAGCACUGGGGAGGACACAGUAAAGAAUCCACUUUUCCACCCUCUUGCAUCUUCUGAGCUUGAUGACCACUACAGCCUUUACUGUACCUUUUGCACAGCUGAGGAUAUGGAUAAUUCAGUAGACUGUGAGCUGUCAUUAGCAGCAAUGUCACCAUGAACUCAGUUCUUUUGGUGUUACACUUUUAUUGGUGGAUUCUGGAGAGGUUGACCGUCCCCAACAGUUUCAAACUGAGUCUCCAUUUCUUGCAGCCAAACCUGCAACAGGUCCUGAGGAAAACAUGUUCCAUAUCAUAGGUUCAUAGGUGUGGCUAAUGGCCUUGGGGCCUUUACAAGCCUAGCCAUAGGA
Protopterus annectens (West African lungfish) is the source of this 4146-nucleotide long non-coding RNA. RefSeq lists it as uncharacterized. NCBI's taxonomy places the organism in Eukaryota, Metazoa, Chordata, Ceratodontiformes, Protopteridae. The record is from RefSeq and is a predicted model, not a curated record. The transcript is spliced from 3 exons.